UACGUAGGGCGCAAGCGUUAUCCGGAAUUAUUGGGCGUAAAGAGCUCGUAGGCGGUUUGUCGCGUCUGCCGUGAAAGUCCGGGGCUCAACUCCGGAUCUGCGGUGGGUACGGGCAGACUAGAGUGCGGUAGGGGAGAUUGGAAUUCCUGGUGUAGCGGUGGAAUGCGCAGAUAUCAGGAGGAACACCGAUGGCGAAGGCAGAUCUCUGGGCCGUAACUGACGCUGAGGAGCGAAAGCAUGGGGAGCGAACAGG
RNAcentral lists this ribosomal RNA (253 nucleotides) under uncultured bacterium. RNAcentral describes it as "partial 16S ribosomal RNA". It matches the Rfam family "Bacterial small subunit ribosomal RNA", at positions 524 to 776 of the family's 1533-position model. The record is from RNAcentral.